Molecule: long non-coding RNA, 1170 nt
Filed under: Gallus gallus (chicken)
Lineage: Eukaryota; Metazoa; Chordata; Aves; Galliformes; Phasianidae
Description: lncRNA (ENSGALG00010006391.1)
Source: RNAcentral
AGCUUAUCUUCAGACCACAGCCACCAGAAAAGAUGUCAGAAGUUUCCACAGUGCAGGGCACAAAGAGAGUCAUUGUGCAGGGACAGCUGGCACCUCGUGGGACAUUGUCAACGUGACACGGCACAGAGCAAACCCCCGAGCCUUCCACUUCCAGCAGCUACAAGGCACUAUGCAUCGCCUCCUCUACACGCAAAGACGCUGAGAACUGGAUCAUCUGCCUUCAUUAUUCUUAUGGGAGCACAGAAGGAUCUGAAAACUGUGGUCAAGCCAGACGCUAAGCCCACUCGGAUAAUACACCUUUUAUUGAAGGCUCUUGCUCCUCUUGUGGUUCCCGCGUGGCUGUGACUCUUGGCAAAUCUGAUGCAGCGUGAGGGUUGCUGGCCACACUUUUGGCUGCUCUUGCCUUUGCUGGAGAAAGCAUCUGUCAAGAGACAUUACCUUUUGCUGACCUUGGCUCAGUCACUGCAAAGACAUCAGAUGAACUAUGCUAUCUUCUAUGCUCGUAUGCCUGGCAUAUACCCAUGGAAGGUGCUUCUCUCUCUUGAGUCAAUAGUAGCCAUCUGGUAUCAGCUUUUCUGCAUAUAAGAAGGCUCAUUUUUUGCUCUUUUACAUGCAAAAAUAAGCUGAAGUGGCAGCUUAGCAGUAGUGGAAUGACAUCCUAGUGUUAAAAUAGGGAAUCUUUGAAAACGCAUUAAAUAAGCAACAGUUGGAUGAGCUCUCUGGGCAAUAAAAUUGAUAAAGAAGCAUAUGAGGUAACAGCCAAGUGCUUGUGUGAGAGUACGACUUUGAUAAAAUGCAGGCACCUGUUUCUUCUGAACAUCUCUGGAUCUGGAAAUGGGAGUUAUUGAUAGCACUGAAGGCGUUGACAGUAAUUCAAAGGUGUAAAGGAAUGUCAAGUGCUGAUUGUGAUUUCUGUGCUUUUCUGUUGGGUGAGCUCAGUCCACUCACACUCUUAACUGAUCCUGAAUAGCAACGUGCCUGAGGUAUUUGUCUCUCGGAAAGGUGAGGGUGAAUCUCUGUUACUCAAAAAUGACUUUCAAACUAUUGCUGAAGGUGUUCAGCAGGAAAAGAGAUUUGCCAUUGGUGUCGUCUUACUGUAGACAUAUAAAAAUGCGGAAGAGUGGAAGCAGGUUGCAGAGCAUGAAAUUCAGACUGAUUAAAAAUUGUUUC